AAAAAAUUGACCUCCAGAGAUUCUCUUUCCUGAAGAAACCCUCCAAAAGACAAGAGGAAAGUUUGCCUUUUCUGCUCCCUUCUUGGAAAGAUGCAAAGUGCUUUAGUAGGCUCCUGGCACAACAAUGGCUUCUAUGGGCACUACAGAAGCCAAUUCAAGAGUGAAAGUGCUAGAGAAUACCGCCUUGCAGCCAAGCCCCAGCCUCCAGCAGUGUUCCUGCAGCGAUGUCAGUUCCUCAGGUUGGACAGGAAUCCUGUCUGGUUGGGUGCAUGUUCUUCACCUGUGGUGCCAUGACUGCUGAGCCCUUGCUGCCAUCCCAUUCCUCAGUUUGCCAAGGAGCUUCCUCUCUUAGUGCAGACUGCCCAGCCUCCACAGGGGCCCUUAGCCCUCCCACAUGCAAAUACUGCCCCUUCCAAAGAAGCCCACCUCUCUUCCAAGUCCUCUUAAGAUGGAAUCCCAGUCCUAGCUCUACCUGCUCAGAAACCAUGGAUUUUACCACCUCGUUGGAAAAGGAGCCUUGAAUGAUUAAGAAACAAAGAUGCUAGUGAUC
RNAcentral lists this long non-coding RNA (550 nucleotides) under Pan troglodytes (chimpanzee). RNAcentral describes it as "long non-coding RNA NONPTRT011926". Lineage: Eukaryota; Metazoa; Chordata; Mammalia; Primates; Hominidae. The record is from RNAcentral.